GAAGUGCGAUAAGUAAUGUGAAUUGCAGUAUUCCGUGAAUCAUCGAAUCUUUGAACGCAAAUUGCACUUUCUGGUAUUCCGGAAAGUAUGCCUGUUUGAGGGUCAGUUAAAUAAAAAUCGGUGUUGUUGCUGCCUUACGUGGUGACGCGUCGGAAUUGAGUUGUCUUACCUUCGGUUAAGUGACUUAAAAUUUUGUAUGAUUUUCGAACGUAUUUAAAUCGCUUACGUACGUUUGAGAUAUCGAAUGCUUAUUAGGUUCGGUCAUCCUCAUGACCCGCGCCUAUAAUUUUUCAUUAAAUGACCUCAAAUCAGGUAAGAAUACCCGCUGAACUUAA
Molecule: unclassified non-coding RNA, 335 nt
Filed under: uncultured Glomeraceae
Lineage: Eukaryota; Fungi; Glomeromycota; Glomeromycetes; Glomerales; Glomeraceae
Description: sequence contains ITS1
Rfam family: 5.8S ribosomal RNA (bases 1-105)
Source: RNAcentral